UACAGAGGUCUCAAGCGUUGUUCGGAUUCAUUGGGCGUAAAGGGUGCGUAGGUGGCGGGGUAAGUCAGGUGUGAAAUUUCGGAGCUUAACUCCGAAACUGCAUUUGAUACUGCGGUGCUUGAGGACUGGAGAGGAGACUGGAAUUUACGGUGUAGCAGUGAAAUGCGUAGAGAUCGUAAGGAAGACCAGUGGCGAAGGCGGGUCUCUGGACAGUUCCUGACGCUGAGGCACGAAGGCCAGGGGAGCAAACGGG
RNAcentral lists this ribosomal RNA (253 nucleotides) under uncultured bacterium. Its description in RNAcentral is "partial 16S ribosomal RNA". It matches the Rfam family "Bacterial small subunit ribosomal RNA", at positions 524 to 776 of the family's 1533-position model. The record is from RNAcentral.